GCCCGUGAAAGAAGAAAAGCCAGAGCAAGAGGAACCGGAGCCACAGACUGCAGAAAGCCCCAAAGCAGCC
Molecule: non-coding RNA, 70 nt
Filed under: Ctenophora environmental sample
Lineage: Eukaryota; Metazoa; Ctenophora
Source: RNAcentral